AACGCACCUUGCGCCCCUUGGCAUUCCGAGGGGCACACCCGUUUGAGUGUCGUGAAAUUCUCAAACCUUCUUGGUUUCUUGACCAAGACGGCUUUGGACUUUGGAGGCGUUUUGCUGGCUUUGCAAAAAGCCAGCUCCUCUUAAAUGCAUUAGUGGGGUCCCCUUUGCCGAUCCCCAGGCGUGAUAAGAUGUUUCUACGUCUGGGAUUUGCUCUGUUUCCUUGGGAACCCGCUUCCAACAGUCUCAUGGGAGACAUCGUUCGAGCUUGCUCGACCCACGAACCUUGACCUCAAAUCGGGUGAGACUACCCGCUGAACUUAA
Molecule: unclassified non-coding RNA, 321 nt
Filed under: uncultured Russulaceae
Lineage: Eukaryota; Fungi; Basidiomycota; Agaricomycetes; Russulales; Russulaceae
Description: sequence contains ITS2
Source: RNAcentral